This 301-nucleotide ribosomal RNA is filed under the name uncultured bacterium. Its description in RNAcentral is "partial 16S ribosomal RNA". It matches the Rfam family "Bacterial small subunit ribosomal RNA", at positions 509 to 807 of the family's 1533-position model. The record is from RNAcentral.
CAGUAGCCACGGGAAUACAGAGGGUGCGAGCGUUAAUCGGAUUUACUGGGCGUAAAGCGUGCGUAGGCGGCUUCUUAAGUCGGAUGUGAAAUCCCUGAGCUUAACUUAGGAAUUGCAUUCGAUACUGGGAAGCUAGAGUAUGGGAGAGGAUGGUAGAAUUCCAGGUGUAGCGGUGAAAUGCGUAGAGAUCUGGAGGAAUACCGAUGGCGAAGGCAGCCAUCUGGCCUAAUACUGACGCUGAGGUACGAAAGCAUGGGGAGCAAACAGGAUUAGAUACCCCUGUAGUCCCUGUUUCUUAUAC